GACGAACCGUGCGAACGUUGUUCGGCAUCACUGGGCUUAGAGGGCGCGUAGGCGGGUUUUCAAGUCUGUGGUGAAAGCCUCCAGCUUAACUGGAGAAGUGCCGUGGAUACUGGAGACCUCGAGGAGGGUAGGGGCAUCUGGAACAGCCGGUGGAGCGGUGAAAUGCGUUGAUAUCGGCUGGAACUCCGAUGGCGAAGGCAAGGUGCUGGACCCUCUCUGACGCUGAGGCGCGAAAGCCAGGGGAGCGAACGGG
This 253-nucleotide ribosomal RNA is filed under the name uncultured bacterium. RNAcentral's name for it is "partial 16S ribosomal RNA". It matches the Rfam family "Bacterial small subunit ribosomal RNA", at positions 524 to 776 of the family's 1533-position model. The record is from RNAcentral.